This is a non-coding RNA of Homo sapiens (human), 153 nucleotides long. It matches the Rfam family "Metazoan signal recognition particle RNA". Rfam says of the family: The signal recognition particle (SRP) is a universally conserved ribonucleoprotein. It is involved in the co-translational targeting of proteins to membranes. The record is from Rfam. Lineage: Eukaryota; Metazoa; Chordata; Mammalia; Primates; Hominidae.
GCCAGGCAUGGUGACGUGUGCCUGUGGUCCCAGCUACUUGGGAGGCUGAGGUGGGAGGAUUGCUUGAGCCCAGGAGGUCGAGGCUGCUGUGAGCCAUGAUUGUGCCACUGCACUCCAGCCUGGCCUGGGUGACAGAGUGAGACCCUGUCUCAA